GAUGAACGCUAGCUACAGGCUUAACACAUGCAAGUCGAGGGGAAACGAUAGAGAAAGCUUGCUUUUUCUAGGCGUCGACCGGCGCACGGGUGAGUAACGCGUAUCCAACCUGCCCAUCACUUGGGGAUAACCUUGCGAAAGUAAGACUAAUACCCAAUGACGUCUCUAGAAGACAUCUGAAAGGGAUUAAAGAUUUAUCGGUGAUGGUUGGGGAUGCGUCUGAUUAGCUUGUUGGCGGGGUAACGGCCCACCAAGGCGACGAUAAGUAGGGGUUCUGAGAGGAAGGUCCCCCACAUUGGAACUGAGACACGGUCCAAACUCCUACGGGAGGCAGCAGUGAGGAAUAUUGGUCAAUGGACGAGAGUCUGAACCAGCCAAGUAGCGUGCAGGAUGACGGCCCUAUGGGUUGUAAACUGCUUUUAUAAGGGAAUAAAGUGAGAGUCGUGACUCUUUUUGCAUGUACCUUAUGAAUAAGGACCGGCUAAUUCCGUGCCAGCCGCCGCGGUAA
Molecule: ribosomal RNA, 508 nt
Filed under: uncultured bacterium
Lineage: Bacteria
Description: partial 16S ribosomal RNA
Rfam family: Bacterial small subunit ribosomal RNA
Source: RNAcentral